Molecule: long non-coding RNA, 873 nt
Organism: Acanthopagrus latus (yellowfin seabream)
Lineage: Eukaryota; Metazoa; Chordata; Actinopteri; Spariformes; Sparidae
Exons: 4
Source: RefSeq, a predicted model, not a curated record
AUGUGUCUCUAAAAGAACCAUUUGGAUUUCACCCGCACACUUAAGGUACAGUGCGGGUGAUUUGAAUGCUCCAGCCCUCACGCUGGAUAUCUCCUCCCAUAUUACUCCGGCUACCUGGAGGAGGAUCCGCCAUUUUCUCGCUUCACUUGUAUGCGACAGCCUGACCGCAACCAUGUGCAACCCGAAAGCCAAGCACUCCUGCUCUGUCGUCGGAUGCACGGACACUCAUGUUUCCCUACAUUGCCUCCCUACCAAAGAGGAUAUCAGAGCGAAGUAGCUAAAUUUUAUUUUUCAGGGAAACGCCCCAGCUUCACUGAGCAAAAGCGUUGUUGUCUGUGCCAAUCACUUCACACCGGACUGUUUCAGCAACCAGGGUCAGUAUCAGGCUGGACUGGCAACGAGAUUGUUCCUCAAAGAUGGAUCAAUACCCACUGUCCGUGUCAACGCCACAGAAGAAGAAACUCCAAACACAUCUGUACAGCAGUCUGUAGUGCAUCAUGUUGCCUGCCAGACAGACCAACCAGUGAAAUGCACGGCUGGCACACAGCUUUCCAUAACUCUCCAGCCUCACUUCAGAAGCACAGACUCUACCUGGCUGCCCUGCAUUACAAUGAAAAUACUGACUGACCACAGGCAACAUCUACAGGUGGAGAGCUUCUGUACAGUCAACUUCCCCAAAUCUAAGCAUGGAAAAUGAACUGCAAAGCCUGUGAAAGCAGAGCCAACAUUCCACUACAUUGAUGCACUGUUGGACCUGAUCUUCAAGAAGGUUUUCCAAGACCCUGGCUCAUAUGUGAACGAGGUGCUGAAACUUACAAUCCCUGAAGACCUCUCGGCUCAGUAUGAAAGACCCAACAAGCUGGACGUUAUAGC